This 713-nucleotide ribosomal RNA is filed under the name Delma petersoni. RNAcentral's name for it is "partial 16S ribosomal RNA". The stretch from base 283 to 452 matches the Rfam family "Archaeal large subunit ribosomal RNA", at positions 1878 to 2091 of the family's 2987-position model. Lineage: Eukaryota; Metazoa; Chordata; Lepidosauria; Squamata; Pygopodidae. The record is from RNAcentral.
GCGUCAAAGCGUCACACUAUCACAAAAUCGGAAACAUACUACAUCACCCCCUAGCAACUCACAGAGCAACUCUAUUUAACAAUAGAAGAACUAAUGCUAAAACUAGUAAUAAGAACUGACUCUCCCCCACACACCCUUCAAUCAGAAAUAGAUAACCUACUGAAAAUUAACCGAACUACAAAAAAGAAACAAAUCAACCAACAAGCAAAAAUUCACCUUUUUUUCGUGGCACCAACACAGGAGUGUUCCAAGGAAAGAUUAAAAGCCCAACAAGGAAUUCAGCUAAUAGACUCCAACUGUUUACCAAAAACAUAGCCUUUAGCACCACAAGUAUUAAAGGUCUCGCCUGCCCAGUGAUUCUUUCAACGGCCGCGGUAUCCUAACCGUGCAAAGGUAGCGUAAUCAUUUGUCUCCUAAAUAGAGACUUGUAUGAACGGCUAACUGAGAGUCUAACUGUCUCCUAAGGCCAAUCAAUGAAACUGAUCUCCCAGUACAAAAGCUGGGAUAUACCCAUAAGACGAGAAGACCCUGUGGAGCUUAAAAUACAUACUAUCUUAACCCAUUAAAAACUACGGGAACAAAACUUUAUAACAUAGCGAUACUUUUUAGUUGGGGCGACUUUGGAAUAAAGAAAAACUUCCAUGACAAGGGGACUCCCCUACUGAGGCCUACAGGCCAAAAUAAUUUCUUUUUGACCCAGACAUCUGAUCAAC